UCCGGUUGAUCCUGCCRGACCUGACUGCUAUCGGAUUGAUACUAAGCCAUGCGAGUCAUUGUAGCAAUACAAGGCAGACGGCUCAGUAACGCGUAGUCAAUCUACCCUAUGGACGGGAAUAACCUCGGGAAACUGAGAAUAAUUCCCGAUAGAACAUUAUGCCUGGAAUGGUUUAUGUUUCAAAUGAUUUAUCGCCAUAGGAUGGGACUGCGGCCUAUCAGUUUGUUGGUGAGGUAAUGGCCCACCAAGACUAUUACAGGUACGGGCUCUGAGAGGAGUAGCCCGGAGAUGGGUACUGAGACACGGACCCAGGCCCUAUGGGGCGCAGCAGGCGAGAAAACUUUGCAAUGUGCGAAAGCACGACAAGGUUAAUCCGAGUGGUUUCUGCUAAAGAAACCUUUUGUCAGUCCUAGAAACACUAACGAAUAAGGGGUGGGCAAGUUCUGGUGUCAGCCGCCGCGGUAAAACCAGCACCUCAAGUGGUCAGGAUGAUUAUUGGGCCUAAAGCAUCCGUAGCCCGUUUUGUAAGUUUUCGGUUAAAUCCAUGCGCUUAACGUAUGGGCUGCCGGGAAUACUGCAUAACUAGGAAGUGGGAGAGGUAGACGGUACUCGGUAGGAAGGGGUAAAAUCCUUUGAUCUAUUGAUGACCACCUGUGGCGAAGGCGGUCUACCAGAACACGUUCGACGGUGAGGGAUGAAAGCUGGGGGAGCAAACCGGAUUAGAUACCCGGGUAGUCCCAGCUGUAAACUAUGCAAACUCAGUGAUGCAUUGGCUUGUGGCCAAUGCAGUGCUGCAGGGAAGCCGUUAAGUUUGCCGCCUGGGAAGUACGUACGCAAGUAUGAAACUUAAAGGAAUUGGCGGGGGAGCACCACAAGGGGUGAAGCCUGCGGUUCAAUUGGAKUCAACGCCGGRA
Molecule: ribosomal RNA, 914 nt
Filed under: uncultured archaeon
Lineage: Archaea
Description: bacterial SSU rRNA
Rfam family: Archaeal small subunit ribosomal RNA
Source: RNAcentral